This 2681-nucleotide ribosomal RNA is filed under the name Begonia fuchsioides. RNAcentral describes it as "eukaryotic LSU rRNA". The stretch from base 281 to 2681 matches the Rfam family "Eukaryotic large subunit ribosomal RNA". The record is from RNAcentral. Lineage: Eukaryota; Viridiplantae; Streptophyta; Magnoliopsida; Cucurbitales; Begoniaceae.
ACUCUUGACAACAGAUAUCUUCGCUCUCGCAUCGAUGAAGAACGUAGUGAAAUGCGAUACUUGGUGUGAAUUGCAGAAUCUUGUAAACCAUCGAGUUUUUAAGCGCAAGUUGUGCCCAAAUCCUUUCAGCCGAGGGCACGCCUGCCUGGGCGUCACACAUCGUAGCCCCCGCACCAAAAGAAAAACCACGUCAAUGGUGUGCAUCGAAGUAGACUUGUGUUGCUGCUUUGCUCGGGCUUGUUGGGAGAGGUGGUCGUGGUGCGGACAUUGGCCUCUCGAGCGAAAUCAAUGUGGUUGGUCUAAAAUGGAGUCCUCGGCGGAUGCCUGUCGGGACCCGAAAGAUGGUGAACUAUGCCUGAGCGGGGCGAAGCCAGAGGAUACUCUGGUGGAGGCCCGCAGCGAUACUGACGUGCAAAUCGUUCGUCUGACUUGGGUAUAGGGGCAAAAGACUAAUCGAACCGUCUAGUAGCUGGUUCCUUUCAAAGUUUCCCUCAGGAUAGCUGGAGCCCAUGGGCGAGUUCUAUCUGGUAAAGCCAAUGAUUAGAGGCAUCGGGGGCGCAACACCCUCGACCUAUUCUCAAACUUUAAAUAGGUAGAACGGCGAGGCUGCUUUGUUGAGCCACGCCACCAAAUCGAGAGCUCCAAGUGGGCUAUUUUUGGUAAGCAGAGCUGGCGAUGCGGGAUGAACCGAAAGCCGGGUUACGGUGCCCAAUUGCGAGCUAACCUAGAACCCACAAAGGGUGUUGGUCGAUUAAGACACCAGGACAGUGGUCAUGGAAGUUGAAAUCCGCUAAGGAGUGUGUAACAACUCACCUGCCGAAUCAACUAGCCCCGAAAAUGGAUAGCGCUGAAGCGCACGACCUAUACCCGGCCGUCGGGGCAAGUACCAGGCCCCGAUGAGUAAGAGGGCGCUGCGGUCGCUGCAAAAUUUGCAGCGCGAGCCCAAGCGGAGCGGUCGUUGGUGGAUGGUUCCAUGUAAACAGCUCUUGCACAUGGGUUAGUCGAUCCUAAGAGACAGUGCAAUCACGUCUGACAGUGCCCAGUGCGCGAUCAUCAAAAGAGAAUUGGUUUUAAAUUCCUAAAAUGGGACGUGGCAGCAACGUUAGGGAUUCCGGAGACGUCGUCAGGGACCUCGGGAAGAGUUAUCUUUUCUGUUUAAUAGCUAGCCCACGCUGGAAACGGCUCGGCCGAAGGUAGGGUCCAGCGGCUAGCACCACACGUCGCGCGGUGUCCAGUAUGUCCUCGACGACCGUUGAAAAUUUUGAGGACCAAGUGCCUCCCACGCCCGAUUGUACUCAUAACCGCAUCAGGUCUCCAAGGUGAAUAACCUCUGGUUGAUGGAACAAUGUAGGCAAGGGAAGUCGGCAAAAUGGAUCUGUAACCUCAGGAAAAGGAUUGGCUCUAAGGGCUAGGCACGGGGGUCCUUGUCCUGAAUCCAUUGGCUGUCGAUGGACUACUCGAACUGCUCUCACGGCCAGAGCAGGUCGUCGCGUGCCUGCCGGGGGACGGACUUGGAACGGCUCCUUCGGGGGCCUUCCCUGGGCAUCGAACAGUCGACUAAGAACUGGUAUGGAUAAGGGGAAUCCGACUUUUUAAUUAAAAUAAAGCAUUGCGAUGGUCCUUGCGAGUGCUCACGCAAUGUGAUUUCUGCCCAGUGCUCUGAAUGUCAAAGUGAAGAAAUUCAACCAAGUGCGGGUAAACGGCGGGAGUAACUAUGACUCUCUUAAGGUAGCCAAAUGUCUCGUCAUCUAAUUAGUGACACGUAUGAAUGGAUUAACGAGAUUCCCAUUGUCCCUGUAUACUAUCCAGCAAAACCACAGCCAAGGGAACGGGCUUGGCAGAAUCAGCGGGGAAAGAAGACCCUGUUAAGCUUGACUCUAGUCCGACUUUGUGAAAUGACUUAAGAGGUGUAGGAUAAGUGGGAGCCGAAAACGGCGAAAGCGAAAUACCACUACUUUUAAUGUUAUUUUACUUAUUCCGUGAAUCGGAAGCGAGGCAACUCCCCUCUUUUUGGACCCAAGGCCCGCCUCGGUGGGUCGAUCCAGUCGAAAGACAUUGUCAGGUGGGGAGUUUGGCUGGGCCUGCACAUCUAUUAAAAGAUAACGAACAUAAAUCUCGUGCGGAACAAAAAGGUAAAAGCUCGUUUGAUUCUGAUUUCAGGUACAAAUACGAACUGUGAAAGUGUGGCCUAUCGAUCCUUUAGACCUUCGGAAUUUGAAGCUAGAGGUGUCAGAAAAGUUACCAUAGGGAUAACUGGCUUGCGGUAGCCAAGCUUUCAUAGAGACGUUGCUUUUUGAUCGUUCGAUGUUGGCUCUUCCUAUCAUUGUGAAGCACAAUUCACCAAGUGUUGGAUUGUUCACUCACCAAUAGGGUACGUAAGACAGGUUUAGAUCGUCAUGAGACAGGUUAGUUUUACCCUACUGAUGACAGUGUCGCAAUAGUAAUUCAACCUAGUACGAGAGGAACCGUUGAUUCGUACAAUUGGUCAUCGCGCUUGGUUAAAAAGCCAGUGGCGCAAAGCUACCGUGCGCUGGAUUAUGACUGAACGCCUCUAAGUCAGAAUCUGGGCUAGAAGCAACGCACGUGCCCGCCGCCUGAUCGCCGACCAGCAGUAAGGGCCCCAGGCCCCCAAGGGCACGCGUCGUUGGCCAAGCCCUUGCAACCGAGCCAUUGCGCAGCCA